UUUCAUUCUUUUACAUCUGGUUAUCCAGUUUUCCCAACACCACUUAAUAGAUUGUCCUUUUCCCAUUGUACAUUCUUGGCUCCUUUGUUGUAAAUUUAUUGACUGUAUAUGAAUUGAUUUAUUUCUGGCCUCUGUAUUCAGUUCAUUUGGUCAAUGUGUCAGUUUUUAUGCCAACACCAUACUGUUUUGAUUGUUAUAGCUUUUUUGUAAUGUAGUUUGAAAUCAACAAAUGGAAUAUCAUUAACCCACUGAGCAAGGCCAGGGAUCAAACCCACAACCUCAUGGUUCCUAGUCACAUUCGUUUCUGCUGCACUACAACAGGAACUCCUUGUGGUUCUAUAUUAAUUUUAGAAUUAUUUGUUCUAUUUCUGGUAAAAUGCCUUUGAAAUUUCAAUAGGAUUUGCACUGACUCUUAUAUUGCAUUGAGUCAUAUGGACAAUUUAACAAUAUUAAUUCUCCCAAUCUGUGUGUACAGAACAUCUUUCCAUUUAUUUGCGUCUUCAGUUUCCUUCAUUAUUGUCUUAUGGUUUUCAGUAUAUAGGUCUUUCACCUCCUUGGAUAAAUUUAUUCCUAGAUACUUUAUUCUUUUUGAUGUGAUUGUAAAUAGGAUUGUUUUCUUCUCAGUUUUAAUUUUUAACAUUGUAAAUAUUGGUAGAUGUAACCUACAUAAACAAACAUGCUUUGGAAUUCUCUAAAGAUUUGAAUACUGCUAGUUCAAAGGAAUGUUUACAUACAUAGGCUAGCCUCAUUUUCUUUCUUGCAGACAAUUAAAUUACUAGUUCAUCAGCUUGAUAUUAUGGAAGUUUGGUUUUAGCCUUUGAGAGCAGAUCUCUUUUGCUUUAUCUUAGUGCAGAAGCUUAGCCUUUCUUUACUUCCAGGUUUUUAGGAGCCCAGUUUGUUCACUGAGCCUCUUUAACUUGACUCAGUCUCUGGCACUGAUCAGCUACUGAGAUCUCUGUUCAGCCCUUUUUCCUUCAAGUGUUGUUUUUCACCAGGACUCCUCGGAGCUUUGCUCUGCACAGACACAGCUCAGGGGUCAGUUAAGGAUUUGAGAUGAAUUUAUAUGCAGAUUUGGAGCCUCCUUCCUUGUGGCUUUCUUCCUUCUUAUGUCUCUUCCUCAAUUCCUAGCCUCUCUAGCCACUAUCUGUCUCCUGAAUCCUCAGCCCAGGAAGACUUCAGCCUUCUGCUUGAGUUCCAUGUCCAAUGCACCAUGCAGAUGCAAGAGGAAAAGGCAACUAAAUGUGGAUUGCAUCCAGUGUGCUUCCAUUCUUUCAGGGUCAUACUUUCUCCAGUCUUUGCCUGCUUUUCCUUGAAUUACAGUGAGUUCAGGAAGCUGUUUGUUUGUUUCUUUUUUUUUUUCCAGAUUUAUAAUUAUCAGCAGGAGAGUUAGUAUGGUAUCAGCUACUCUACUGUUAAAUGAAGUGGAAUUACUGUAUUUUCUCAUAUUCAAACCAAGAUCAGCAAGGCUCUGUCUUCAUCUGUGGGGAGACAACAGAGUUAAAAAAAAUUGAAAACUAUGUCUUCCUUCAGCUGUGCAGUGUUCUAGAAACUCUAUUUUCCCACAAUCCACAUACCGAUUCUAAUUUAAUAUCAUCUUAUCUAUGUGCUUCUGAUGUUGGGCUAACAUCAUUUUCUCACAGUCUACCCCUUCAUCCUUAGUAGAUGGGCAUCUGUCCAACAUCCUUGGCUCACAUUUGCAUGUUGUGAAUACUUCACAUCAUUAUACACAUCUUUUAAAAACAUGUUUUCUGGGUUUUGACCAUUUUACAUCAUUGUGGCUUUAUGGUCCCCAGUUGACCUUAAUCAUUAUCAUAUUUUUGUGUUCACAUUGUAAGCAGUUGGCCUUUAUUAGCUUUUUCUUCGGGCUAACUUAUUUAUUCCUUCAUCUUUUUACUCUUUUUUUAUUAAUGUAUAACUUACCUACAAUAAAAUGCACCUCUUUAGAGUGUACAGUUGGAUGUGUUUUGAAAAAUGUAUACAGCCAUGUAACUCACAUCCCUAUCAAGAUAGAACGUGUCUCACACCCCGUGAUGUUUCCCUUAUGCUUCAUUCCAAUCACUUUCUCCUCUGAUGGGUGAGGCCACUGUUGUGCUGAUUUCUGUCACUGCAGACUAGUUUUGUCUUUUUGCAAAUUUCAUGUAAAGGGAAUUAUACAGUGCGUACUCAUUUGGGACAAGCUUCUUUCAUUCAAUAUGAUUUUGAAUUUUAUCUAUAGGUCGCACAUAUCAGUGGAUUGUUCAUUUUUAUCGCUUGAGUAGUAUUCUCUCUGGCCAGUUUUUACAUUCUCUUGGGCCAUUUAUAGUGGGGGUUAUUAUGAAUAAAGCUUUAAGCCUUUUCGUGUAUGUGUGUUUUCUGUUCUCUUAAAUAAAUACCUAAGCAUGGAAUUGUUGAGUCUUAGGGAAAUUGUAUGUUUCACUUUAUAAGAAACUACCAGUUUUCCAAAGUACUUUUACCACUUCACACUCUUAUCAGCAGUGUAUGAGCGUUACAAUUGCUCUACCUCCUGUCAGCACUUAGUAUUAUUCAUCUAAUACUAGUCAAUUUUAAUUUUAACCACUCCAAGUUAUUAUAUUGUGGUUUUCAUUUUUCAUUUUCUUGAUGACUAAAGAUAUUAAAUGUCUUUUCAUGUGCUUAUUGGCCAUUCAUGUCCUUUUUUUGAACUGUCUGAUUGAAUCUUUUGCCAAUAUUUUUGUUAUCUAUAUUUUAUUAUUGAUUCGCAGGAGCUCCUUAUGUUCGCUUUCAAAAAAAUAUUACCUCAGUUACCUCUGAAGUCAUUCUUACCUUCUGACAACAAAAUGUCUCAGGUUCUCUUUUGAGUUUUCCUGCCCCACAUGGGGAACCAACUACACUUGGCCCUUGACCAGCAUGGAUUUGAACUGUGUAGGCCCACUUAUACAUGAACUAUUUUUGGUUUAAUCCAUGGAUGCAGAAGCACAGAUACAGAGGGCCCACUUUAAAGUUAUAUGCAGAUUUUCACCUGUGUGGUGGGUCAGCUCCCCUAACCCCUAUGUUGUUUGAGGGUCAACUGUACUCUCCAGGGAGUGUUGUCACCUUCUUGUGGAACUUGUGAUGAUUGCUGAGUCACCUCUCUUGGACCCCGAGACAGAGAGAGCCAGACCCAGCCCAAACCAUAGGGUCAGUUCUGGCCACGUUGGGGGCUGGACCUGUCUCUUCCUGCCUUGGAGUCUAGGACAGGUUACUCAGAAAUCACCACGAGAGUCAGUUUUGGUACCAAAACACUAUACUUUAAAAUGGGAACUUCAAAGCCUGUCAAGUUCCUCCAUGCUUAUUUCUAUAAUCCUUUGAUUGUAAGCAUGAGAUGUCUUGCCAACCUUCUCAUUAGUCUUCUGUUGUCCUGUCAUUUUCAUACUGCUCCGGGUGUGUCCCAGCUGAACUCUCUUCCAGACUUUUCUGUGAUGCCUUCUGGACCACACACACACACACACACAGACACACACACACACACACACUUCACAAUAAAUUAAGCUUCCUAUAUCUUUGCUUUUUUUUUUUUUUCAGGAGAAAUCCUAAAGUAAAUUUGACUUUCUCCUGUGUCAGUUUUCAUAGAGGAUAUUGUUCUUUCUUCCAUAUGCCAAUAUUUCUUGGUUGAAAGGUACAGUCAGUAUCUUCCCAAUUCUCCACUGCCCUUUCCGGUUGAUCAUUCUUUUCUUCCCUAACCUAAGCAAGAGACUUUCUCUGAGAUUCCUGCCACCUAUCAUAUGAUUUUCCAUCACCCUCUCCUUUCAGCCACCUAUCUACAUUCAGUUGUCUUCUCCAUACAUACAUACGCAUGUAUAUAUGUAUGCCUUUGGAACUUGAAUCUCAUUUAUCUUCUCUGCCUUAACUCUUGCCAUGACAGCCCAUUCAACUCUCUAACAUCUCAGUUUCCAUGAUGUUUCCUCCUCCAUUCUCUGGCUGUCACCUCCUAUUUGCUAAAUGCCGCCUACCUUUUUUUCUUUUUGGUCACACCAUGGCAUGUGAAGUUCUUGGGAGAGGGAUCAGACCCGUACCACAACAGUGACAAAGCUGGAUCCUUAACCCUCUGAGCCACAAGGAAACUCCCAAAUGUCUCUUAUCUUUAUACUAAUUAUACUCAGUCUUCAACCAUCUGGAGAUCACUCAUCCUUCCCUAUAUUCUUUUACUGUAUUAGCCCCAUUACUGUCCUUAUUUCUUUUCAGACUAAUCCUGUACCUCAUUAGAUCAUCACUUUUUCUUAGCCCGACAAUCAACUCCCUCACCCUUGUCCUGCUACCACACCUUUAGAGUAACCCCCACACACACCCCUUCCUCUCCUCCAGUAUUCUUUCUCUCUUUCUCCACCUGGAUGAUUAAGCAUUGCUGAAGCAAAAUGGUCACUUGUGCUGAUUGGUUUCAUAAUGGCUUAUGAGGUAUUUCUCUAAGAGGGACUUGAAUAUUUCCAUUAACUAUAGAAUCAGAA
RNAcentral lists this long non-coding RNA (4439 nucleotides) under Sus scrofa (pig). Its description in RNAcentral is "lncRNA (ENSSSCG00025074600.1)". Lineage: Eukaryota; Metazoa; Chordata; Mammalia; Artiodactyla; Suidae. The record is from RNAcentral.